RNAcentral lists this ribosomal RNA (292 nucleotides) under uncultured bacterium. RNAcentral's name for it is "partial 16S ribosomal RNA". It matches the Rfam family "Bacterial small subunit ribosomal RNA", at positions 505 to 796 of the family's 1533-position model. The record is from RNAcentral.
GUGUCAGCAGCCGCGGUAAGACGAACCGUGCGAACGUUGUUCGGAAUCACUGGGCUUAAAGGGCGCGUAGGCGGGUUUUCAAGUCUGUGGUGAAAGCCUCCAGCUUAACUGGAGAAGUGCCGUGGAUACUGGAGACCUCGAGGAGGGUAGGGGCAUCUGGAACAGCCGGUGGAGCGGUGAAAUGCGUUGAUAUCGGCUGGAACUCCGAUGGCGAAGGCAAGGUGCUGGACCCUCUCUGACGCUGAGGCGCGAAAGCCAGGGGAGCGAACGGGAUUAGAAACCCCAGUAGUCC